Molecule: unclassified non-coding RNA, 158 nt
Filed under: uncultured Clavariaceae
Lineage: Eukaryota; Fungi; Basidiomycota; Agaricomycetes; Agaricales; Clavariaceae
Description: sequence contains ITS1
Source: RNAcentral
UCGAAUCCUUAGGAUGUUGCUGGCCUUCGGGCAUGUGCACUCCGCCUUUCAAUACACCUGUGAACUCAUUGUAGGUGCAGAUGUAACAAAUCUGUUGCCUACGUUUUUUAUAAACACUAAAUGUUUAUUGAAUGUAAUGAUGUUGUCAUAACUUAAUA